Non-coding RNA from Guyanagaster necrorhizus, 102 nucleotides. The record is from the annotation of a RefSeq genome assembly. Lineage: Eukaryota; Fungi; Basidiomycota; Agaricomycetes; Agaricales; Physalacriaceae.
GCUUCAGUGGCUCAGUUGGUUAGAGCGCCAGUCUCAUACGCCUGUAUGAUCCUUGACAUAGGAGUCAUCUGGAGGCCCCCAGUUCGAUCCUGGGCUGGAGCA